This 862-nucleotide long non-coding RNA is filed under the name Homo sapiens (human). RNAcentral describes it as "non-protein coding LLPH-DT:10". The record is from RNAcentral. Lineage: Eukaryota; Metazoa; Chordata; Mammalia; Primates; Hominidae.
AGACAAAAUGUCUCAAGAAGCCUUGAGAGGCGGGAUUUUGGAACCCGGGCGCUGACGAGCUUCCGCCAUUGGUGUGAUCGCGGACCUAGAAACUUGGUCCGUCCCAUACAGGUGUAGAAGUCGGAUUUGGAGAAUGCUGACGGGUGUCCGGUCAAGGUUAGGCCCCAGGCACUAUGCUGAAUUUGCAAAGAUGAAGGAAACUAAACUACUGUUUUUGGGAAACUUUAUCUCCUAAUGGACAAACAAGGCUUAAGGGUCCAACUAAACAUUGCAGUGGCUCAUCACAGAGCUGGAAGGAGCCUAUAUAUAGAACUAGAGGCACAGUGGGUGGCCCUGAAUACCUUACAGGAAGCAGACUGAUUUUCUCAUCCAAAAGGCAUGCUACAUGAUGCAGAACAGUCAGUGGGGCCCCUGCAGUCAGGCCUCUCCCAUGGAAUCCCUGAUCUGCACAAUCAGUAAGGAACAGGAAGACUUCUGGGAUUCAGAUAGUGACCCCAUGUUGCCCAUUCCCUAGAUAAUGGGGACUUCAAGACAAAGCUCUAGAAAAAUGAAAGGAAAAAGCAAAAAGUAUCUAAGUCCUUAGCUGCUCCAAAAAAAAGGCCUGCAGCUGCAGGCUGUUGACCACUAAUCCCUGGAAAUGCAUCAAGUAGACUGAAGCUAGGUCUGAGAAGAAAUCAAGGCAGGUGUAUACGGCCUACUGCAUCUCUUUUCCCAAAUUACGUUCAAGAAAUACAGAAGUUCUCAGAUAUUGCUCUUUCCUCAUUUUCCUCCUACCUCUUAGCUGUUCUUCCUAUGGCCCUUGCACACUGAGUUGCCUGUUGCUCUGUCCAAGUCCUGCUAAUUCCAUGUUCUUUUUUUUUUU